CCAACUCCCAUGGUGUGACGGGCGGUGUGUACAAGGCCCGGGAACGUAUUCACCGCAGCGUGCUGAUCUGCGAUUACUAGCGAUUCCACCUUCAUGCACUCGAGUUGCAGAGUGCAAUCCGAACUGAGACGGCUUUUGGAGAUUUGCUCCGGGUCACCCCUUCGCUUCCCAUUGUCACCGCCAUUGUAGCACGUGUGUAGCCCAGCCUGUAAGGGCCAUGAGGACUUGACGUCAUCCCCACCUUCCUCGCGGCUUAUCACCGGCAGUCCCCCUAGAGUGCCCAACUGAAUGAUGGCAACUAAGGGCGAGGGUUGCGCUCGUUGCGGGACUUAACCCAACAUCUCACGACACGAGCUGACGACAGCCAUGCAGCACCUGUGU
RNAcentral lists this ribosomal RNA (381 nucleotides) under uncultured Methylosinus sp. Its description in RNAcentral is "partial 16S ribosomal RNA". Lineage: Bacteria; Pseudomonadati; Pseudomonadota; Alphaproteobacteria; Hyphomicrobiales; Methylocystaceae. The record is from RNAcentral.